Molecule: unclassified non-coding RNA, 1604 nt
Filed under: Leishmania donovani
Lineage: Eukaryota; Euglenozoa; Kinetoplastea; Trypanosomatida; Trypanosomatidae
Description: gene:LdHU3.19.1940(CDS-product:ELMO/CED-12_family _putative)
Source: RNAcentral
UAUCACCACCACCACCUCUACGCACAGGCAGAGAGAACACUAUCGAGACAAAACUCCACAAGAGAGCCACAGAACAACAACAAGAAGCAGCACACACUCCGAAGCUGCUCACACACACACCCACACACACACACAUAUAUAUAUAUAUAUAUAUAUAUUUGUUUGCCUGCGUGCGCCCUUCUCCACCUCUCCAGCCUCGCCAACCAUCCCUCCACUUCCUCUUUUUUUUUUGUUCUUGGCAUUACAGCCCCAAGAUGCGUCAACGCAAAGGCGUGCCGGCCCCUGUGGUCCCAUCCGCCACCGCUACGUACGCGGCAUACCCAGGCAGCUCGGACAGCGCCCACACCGCGCACCAAGCAAGCUCAACGAACACCCGUGACCUCAACCACCGAGCAGCAACCACUGCCGCAACGGCUACAGAUGCUGACUCGUUUCAGCGGCGUGCAAAUCGGCUUGAGGAGAUGGAGCGCUCCCUCUACUACACGCCGCAGCUCUUGUGGCUGCAGGUGAUGGACCGAAUGCCGUACGAGCUCACUCACUACUUUGUGUCCUCCCCCCCACCCCACCACGAGGCGAUGCUGAGUGGAAUUCGUGAGCAGUACGGCCGGCCGUACUCCGCAGAGAAGCCGUUCGAUGUCGAGCUUCUGGGCCGCUUGUGGAACGGCCAUAGCAGGGUGAUGUUUGCGACGGACAACCUGGUAUUCUCGGCAGCGGCUCACUCGGUGAGUGAUCGGUGGAAGGAGAUGGGCUUUCAAGGCACUGACCCCUCAACGGACUUUCGUGGAGCCGGCAUUUUUGGCCUCGCACAGCUCGUGUACCUCGUGGAACACCACCCUGAGCAGUGGAGCGCGAUCCUGACUCCCGACUUCAUGGCCGCCGCCGCGGGGCUGAACGUGACGAUGCGCCUCGCGACACUGCUUGGCAUCAACUCGUCCCUGAACCAGUUCAGCAGCUCGGUUCUCUCCACAUAUUCCGCGCGCGAGGCGCGUCUGCGGUUGUGCCGCUUCAUCUUCGAUCCGAGCGUCGAUGUUGCCACUCAGCGACUGAGCGAGGUCUACUGCUUUGCCAUGCGUCUUCUGCAUUACCGAUGGAUGCGCUCGACGCGCAACAUCAUGGAGCUCAAUCAGCAGCUUAGCAAUAUGUACACGGAGCUGGACCGGCUGCUGUUUCUGUGUAAUACACUAGAGGAACUGUGCAGCCUCCUGUGAUGGGGCUGAGCUUUCCGUUCUCUCAGCAACGCCGCCGACGAACGCGCAUUGCUGACAAGAAAGCCUCCAGUCCCGCUCCGUCUGCGGGUAUUAUGCAGCGACUGGAGCAACGCUAUACUCUGCUUCUCUCUUCUGGGUCACGCGGCUGGACACCCCGCACCUGCGCGUUUCUCUAAUGUGCGUCAAAUGUGUGUGUGUGUGUCUUGGGUGACAUUGUGUUGCUGACACGUUCCCUUGUCUCUUCCGAGACUUCUCUCGCUUAAGCUCGCGCGUUCUUCGUCAGCUGUGAAGGGUGGACACACUCGGGCUCCUCUCUUUUCUCGUGCCGGCCUUCUGUCGCUCCGUUGCUUCGCCUUUUGCCGUUCUGCCCUCUCGUGGUGGCACUCUCAGUGCUGG